GUGAUCGGUCUCGAAAUUGUCAAGCCUUCACUACUUGUUAAAGCCAUACUAUCGAAGCACGCCUUCUGAAUCAACUUUCUUCUUCACUCGACACUUAGCUCCCGCACCACAUGCCAAGGCUGACUACCUCGUGUGGCAACAGGUGCCACCGACUAACUCUGUAACCAAUCGUAAGCUCUCACUUCCUCCUACAUGGAGCUCACUUACUCCGACGUCUCAACCCCACAACAAUAUCUUAAGAGUCCCACAUCAACCAAAGGUUUCCGAGACACACAAGCUGAAGGAUUGUAACUGUAAGCGACCGAAUCACCCCUGCGGAAGUUCACUUCCCUAUUCCAAGUUAAUCCUUAUCUUGGCAUCAACUCUUAUUGCUAAAAUAAAUGAUAACUCACCAUUUUUUUCCCGGAAUUACAAAUUGAGGGUAUUUAUGCUUAUAAAAUGAUUGAGAUAUAAUAACUAAAGUUUUUUUUUUCAUCAUAAACUGGCGGAAAAAUUAUUGUAAAACAAAACAUAACUAUGUAUUAAACGCACAAAAAAGAAUUAGAACCAAAACAAAUUAUAAAAUAAAAUAAUAAACAGUCAAAUUCCCAUUUUAACUACUACUUUAGAGCAUCUCCAAAGGAAGAGUAAAAAAGUACACAUUAACAAUAACAGUAAAAAAAGACAACAUUAGUGUUUUUCAACCGAAAUGUCAACUCAUAUGUGACAUGAUGCGGAUUGACAUCAAAGAUGGUUGCUGUCAAAUUUGACAGCAACUUCAAAUCUAAUUUUAGGAAAUAAGUGCUUUUCAUCAUUUUUAUUUUUAUUUUUUGUUUUAAAAAUACUUAUUACAAUUAUGAAAAGUAGAUAAUAGUUUGACAUAUCGAGUGGAGAAGAAAUUUUUUAAAAGGGUCAAAGUGCCACUUAAGUCUUCAAAUUUAAAUUGUAUGUUUAAAAGGGAUAGUGGAUCUGUGAUUUAAUAGAACUCAUGGAACCUUUGAACCACGAAGUCCCCGUCGCACAAAGCUUGCAGUAAUUACACCAUCUUAAAUGUCUUACCGAUCAUUUCAAAGUUCUUUAUGUGGUGAAUAGUUCAUGGCACAAGAUUUUUGCACGAAAAAUUGUUGGUCGUGCGAGAUGGCGCAAAACCUUCAUUUUACUGCGUUUUUACCCAGAUAUUGUGCAAUGAAAUAUCCAUUUUGUCAUGCUAAGCCUUCUUGCGCGGUGAAAGGUUUCGUGGCCUAAUGUUUUCAAUUAUUUUUUAUAGCCUUGAUGUUUUCGUACAACGAUACUCUGAUUUCAUCGCACAAAGUGACAUUGUGCGACAAAAUUUGAUGCGUCACAUAAAGUUGGGUCGCGCAAAUUUUUCUCUACCAGUGUUAAUUUGUACAAUGCUUUGCUAUUACAUGAUUGCGAUUUA
Long non-coding RNA from Malus domestica (apple), 1399 nucleotides. RefSeq lists it as uncharacterized. The record is from RefSeq and is a predicted model, not a curated record. NCBI's taxonomy places the organism in Eukaryota, Viridiplantae, Streptophyta, Magnoliopsida, Rosales, Rosaceae.